This 253-nucleotide ribosomal RNA is filed under the name uncultured bacterium. RNAcentral describes it as "partial 16S ribosomal RNA". It matches the Rfam family "Bacterial small subunit ribosomal RNA", at positions 524 to 776 of the family's 1533-position model. The record is from RNAcentral.
UACGGGGGGGGCAAGCGUUGUUCGGAAUUACUGGGCGUAAAGGGCUCGUAGGUGGCCAAUUAAGUCAGACGUGAAAUCCCCAGGCUUAACCUGGGAACUGCGUCUGAUACUGGUUGGCUUGAAUUCGGGAGAGGGAUGCAGAAUUCCAGGUGUAGCGGUGAAAUGCGUAGAUAUCUGGAGGAAUACCGGUGGCGAAGGCGGCAUCCUGGACCGAUACUGACGCUGAGGAGCGAAAGCCAGGGGAGCAAACAGG